GAAAAACAAAAAUAAUAGUUUGAUACAUACAUAUAUAACUGGGAAAUAUAUAAACAAAAAUAAUUAAGAAAGAAAAUUAAGUCAAUAUUUUAAAAUCAAUAUUAAUUUGAUGCUUAAACUUAGUCUUAAAAGUAGACUUGAAUCACUUAUUAUUAAGGAGGAUAAUAAUGGAGAUGUUUUCUAAAAGCUUAAUCAAACUGUGGAAGGAAGGGAAGGUGCGAGCAUUUGUCUUACUCAGCCCUAUGCUCCAUGUAAUUCUGAUCCUUCUGGGCAACCGUAGAAAGCAUACCUCAAGCUCUUGGAUUAGAAUUACUUUGUGGUGUGCUUACUUAGCAGCAGACUAUGUUGCCACCGUUGCACUGGGCGCCAUCAUAAGCAAUUUCGCAGAUGUCUUUGGGAAUAAUGGUUCUGCUUCUUUUGACAACAGCAUUGAGCUAACUGCAUUUUGGGCUCCAUUUCUGCUGUUGCACUUGGGCGGACCAGACACUAUCACGGCCUAUUCAUUGGAGGACAAUGAGUAGUGGACAAGGCAGCUGUUUGGACUUGUUAUCCAGACUGAGAGUUGCGUUUUACAUUCUCAUCAUGUCGUGGACAGGCUCUCUUGUCUCGAUUCUUUCCUUGUUGAUAUUUUUUCAGGGCUCAUCAUGUAUGGAGAAAGGAUUUCAAAUAAAAGUUACGAAUUUCACACACGCAAAAAUCCCUUUGAACGCCUUCCCAAUUGAAUUAAAAACACCAAAAUUUCAAUCAAUUUAUAAGAAUUGAUUAUAAAAAAUAUCAAGAAGGAGAGUACAUAUCAUCAUGUUUAGACUUUUACGUUUCAAUCGCAGCAACUAAAAGAAAGAAAACUGAAACAAACCUGCAUAUUGAAUGCAACCAUUUGAGCGCCAUGCAUCGAAGCAUUUAGUGGCUUGUAGUUGGAGGAGUUAAACCAAGUGCGUUUAGGAUACACCCGGAAGACAUUUUUUUGAACCUCUAGACAUCUAGCAGCACUUUCACCACUUGAGUCAAUUGAAAGAGCUCUUUGGUGUAACUCUCUAGCAGUGGAUACAGUUCCCUUUUUCCAUUCUAUCCAUCCCGAAGCCUAAUAGUUUGGAAUUUCAAUCCGUCAAAUCAACUUUUAUAUUGAAUCGGCAAACAAAAGAAAUCCUGGGCAAGUUGCAGUGCUUGGGCUGCCAUCUCCAUUAACAAACGUUGGAAUGUUACCUUCAUCAUCACAAAACCAACAUCUGAACUAUGUACCCAAGUUUUAUACAAUUUUAGCAAUCUCACAAACUAAUAAUAAAAACAUAAUUAAAAAAAAAAGGCAAAGCCAGAACAAAACCAUAUUCAUAUUGAGAGCAUUGAGGGCGGAAGGGCCGUUGAGAAUAGCGAUUCUCGAAUAAGUUUUGCCUUCAACUAAUACCUUUUCAAGCAAGACAGUAGAAGGAUGAGAUUAUUCAAAAAUUUCACACAGCACAAAUCAAUUUGAAGUUACUGGUGUGAUCACUAUACAACUGGCUAAAUUCCAAGCACAAUGCAGACCAAAUGCAAUGCAUUCAUGGUUUUUGCUUCUUGCUGCAGGGUGAUUUCAUAUGUAUGGUCACAAAAGGUCUUGCAUAAACGAUUCCAGUGAUCUGCAAUAAUAUACAAGAAAAGCAUACCCAACCAAAUCCAUCUGAUAAUCUCAGAAGCUAAAAGAAUGGAAUGUCACAGCCACUUAUGAACUAAAAUAGGCACUGCCAGUACUAUCUUCCCAACAUCCUCAUCAGCUUGCAUUAUCUAUUUUAUUCGAGCCUCACCAUUUGGUCCUCAUCACAUCAUUUCCUCCAAAUAACGUUUGGCAACCAAACUGGGGACCAGCCUGUCCCAAUGCUGCAUAGGUAAUAUGAUCUGGCGAAAUGCCCUUCUCUUUCAUUUCAUCAAACAGAUCUUGGGCUUUAUCAUUGCACCCAAGUCUUUGAUACCCAGAAAUGAGAGCAGUAUAGGUCAGUCGAUCAGGUGUCACAUUGUUUCUCUUCAUUUCACCCAUCAACAAGUUGGCCAUAUCAAUGCGCUUUAACUUGCAAAAUCCACCAAUUAAACAGGUAUAAGUAACAACAUUCGGAGACUGGCCCCCCUGCAACAUCUCCUUAUACAAUGCCCAAGCCCUUUUCAUAUUUUCAGCUCUACAAAACCCAUCAAUAAUACACGAAUAAGUAAUCUUAUCUGGAAUCACACCCUUUUCAGUCAUCUCCUUAAACAAAUUAUAAGCUUCGUGCAUAUUGUUCCUUUGGGAGAACAUUUUGAUGAGAAUUGUAUAUGUGACCACGCUUGGUAAGAUACCACCUUUUACCAUUUUUGCAUAAAAUAGCAAGGCCUUUGUUGGAUUUGAUUGUUUAGCAAAUCCAUCUAUUAUGGUACUAUAAUGAACAACACCUGGAAAAACAUUGUUCUUAAUCAUUAUUGGAAGAACUUCCCAUGCUUUAUCAGAUUUCUUUCCCUUGCACAGCCACUUAAUGACUACAUUAUAUGUGUACGAAUCAGGCAUAAUGCCAAAGUUUUGCAUUUCAUUUAUGAAUUUCAAAGCUUCCAUGAAGUGUCCUCCUCUGAAAUAUUCGUCAGCAAUAACAUUGCAAGUGAUAGUAGUUGGUGGGACUCCAAACUGUAGCAUUAUACUUAAAACUUCCAACGCUUUAUCUAAAAGCCCCCUUUUGCAGAACCCAUAAAUCAGCCUACCAAAACUGAAUGUGUUAGGAACCAAACCAUUCCUUGUCAUCUCACACACAACUUCACUGGCAGAUUCCAUGUCACCUUGCAAUACAAAACCAUCCAUUAAUAUGUUGUAAGAAGUAACAUCAUAUUUGUAUCCUAAAGCACCAAGAUUACGGAACAUAUCUAGACAAACAUAAAUCAGUCCAUGCUUACAAAGACCACUAAAGAGAGAACUAUAGGUAACUAGGGAUGGUUUUAGUUUCACAUUAUAAUGAACCAUUUCUUCUAUCAAAUUGAGAGCUUUUUCUAUAUCCCCAUUCUUGCAAAACCCAUCAAUCAAAAUGUUGUAGCUAUAAACAUCUGGAGAUGGUCCAUGGUUCCUCAUAUAUUGCAAAAGCUUCAGAGCUUCAUAUGGUUCACCUUUUUGGCAAAACCCAUGAAUGAUCGCAUUAUAACUAUAACUGUUGAGAUGCUGAUUUCUAAUUCUCAAAUCCUGGAUAAAUCCCAAAGCAAACUCAACAUAACCAGCUCCACAAAGACCAUGUGUAUAUGCACCAUAAGUUACAAUUGUAGGGCCUAUCCCUUUCAUUUCCAUUUCCUCUAGAAAUCCAGUUGCUUGCACAAUAUCUAUAUUCUGCCCAAUAUGUCCUUUACAAUAAUAAUUCAUCAUAAUAGUAUAGGUACAAACAUUAGGUGAUGGCCCAGAAUCCUUCAACUCUUUAAACAAUAUUCUAGCAAACUCCAAUUGAUUGGCUUCCAAAGAACACUUGAGCAAGAAAUUACAAGAUAAAAUGUUUGGUUCGGACCCAAAUUUUUUAGCCUGCAAAAACACAUCUAACGCAUUCUCAAGCAUCUUAUUCUCUGCAAAAACUUUUAUGAGUAUAUUGAUUACAAUAGCUGAUAUUGCCUUAUGCGAAUGCUGUAGUGAACUUAACAAUGUUGAAUGCGACUCUGAAACGUCCAAAUCAAGUUUCUUAUAGUAGGAAAUUAUAUCUCUAAGCAAGAAUUGUACUUCAAUCUGCAAGCCAGCCAAUGCAAAAGCAUGAACAAUGAUUCUAAAGGCAUUAAUUGAAUGAGGAAAACCAUGGCAGCUAACUGCAUUAGAGAAGCUUGUGUCCUUUGUAAGUUCCCAAUUCAAGGUCUUAAAAACCGUUACAACAAAUGGAAACAAUCCACGCUUUUUUGGAUUAAUGGGUUUGCUUGCUUUCCCAAAUAUAUCACUUUCACUCAUGGGAAUAUAAUUCAACAUAUCGUCUUCUAACAAUAAUGCAGAGACAGCUGAAUAAUGAACUUUAAAAAGAGACUUUUCACGCGAAAUAAUCAAGCCAAGUAAAGUCGACUUCAAUGAGUAUGUUUUUGAAUAAGCGCAAAUACCCAUCAAUAUCCAGAUUGCGCUCACGCGAGUUAACAACUAGAAACUGCAUAAUCUCAAAAGUUUUGCCACAAAUGAAGUUUCUAUAAGCUAAACCUGAUAAAAAGACAUGCUUGAAUGUCAAUUAAAAAGGGGAAAAAAAGGAGAGACUACUCUAGCUUCUAUAUGACAGAAAAACAUAUCUACGAACAGAACAACCAGCUUAAUUUAAAGAUAUUACCUCAGUUUAUAGGCAUUUGACUUGGGAAAAUUAUUGAAUUCCUUCAAGGCGCUGAAAUUCUAAAAGGAAACGAUUUUCUAAAUAGGAAGCGAGGGAGAAAGGUGGGCAACUAUAUAGCUCCUUCAGUUAAAACUAAACAAAGACGGUGAUGUCAUCAAAGAAGUGAACAAAAACGACGGAAUCGGCGACAGCGAGGGAGAAACGGCAAUGGUGAACUAUAACGACGGUGCUGGCUUCAAAAUAGUGUGGCGGCUGAACAAGCUUCUUCUUUUUUUUU
This 4539-nucleotide unclassified non-coding RNA is filed under the name Hevea brasiliensis (rubber tree). Lineage: Eukaryota; Viridiplantae; Streptophyta; Magnoliopsida; Malpighiales; Euphorbiaceae. The record is from RNAcentral.